GAGGAAUACUGGUCAAUGGGCGCGAGCCUGAACCCAGCCAAGUCGCGUGAGGGAAGACGGUCCUAUGGAUUGUAAACCUCUUUUGUCGGGGAGCAAAAGGCGCCACGUGUGGCGUUCCGAGAGUACCCGAAGAAAAAGCAUCGGCUAACUCC
This 152-nucleotide ribosomal RNA is filed under the name uncultured bacterium. Its description in RNAcentral is "partial 16S ribosomal RNA". It matches the Rfam family "Bacterial small subunit ribosomal RNA", at positions 356 to 504 of the family's 1533-position model. The record is from RNAcentral.